UUCUCCUUGAUCUCCAGCAUCUCCAGGUUCUCCCUCGACACCUGGUGGUCCAUCAUGUCCAACUUCAAAGUUGUCAACUCCCGGUGGUCCUGGUGGUCCCUGCUCUCCUGGCUCUCCGUCUGGACCUGGAGGUCCUGGCUCUCCGACUGG
Caenorhabditis elegans is the source of this 150-nucleotide non-coding RNA. The record is from Ensembl. NCBI's taxonomy places the organism in Eukaryota, Metazoa, Nematoda, Chromadorea, Rhabditida, Rhabditidae.